This 1402-nucleotide long non-coding RNA is filed under the name Homo sapiens (human). Its description in RNAcentral is "HSALNT0025947". The record is from RNAcentral. Lineage: Eukaryota; Metazoa; Chordata; Mammalia; Primates; Hominidae.
GCCACUCCUGCCCUGCUCCACCCACUGCACCUGCCUCCGGAGAGCCUCUUCCCACACUCCACACCAAUUCCACCUUGCCUAGGCAGCGCCAAAGCACCUUCUCUGAAAGCUGUUAAGUGAAGGCUGUGACUUCAGCCCCUUAGAUUCAGGGCUGACUCUGGAGACAGUUCUGUCUGAAAUGAUAGGAAGUGCCCCAUGAGGCCCCAAGCCCGGCUCUGCCUGACUGUGCCUGGCAUUGACCACGCCAGGGAAAUGGGAAAAGGCUCCGGAGAAGGAUGGUGAUGCCCUUGAGGAGGAAAGGCACAGGGCAGCCCAGGAAGAAAGGAAACUCACCGGGGAAAUGAAGACUCAGUUGAUCUUCCUGUGCUGAGACCCUCUAGCAGAAUCACAACAGAGAGACACGUGACCUCUGGACACUAUGCUGAGCCCCGAGCAUGGGUGAGAGGCGCUGGCUGGGAAGGGCCUAUUGCCUGGAACACUUCAUUACUUGAAACACAGAGCAAGAAGCAGAAGUUACAAAUCAGGUGUUCUCUUUAAGAAGCUGUAUGGAGAGUUUGUCCUUACACUUGAAUAGUUGCUUCAUUACCUCCCUUAUCUCAGAAGGACAUGCACAGUAAGGUUAUGAAGAACUGGCUUCCAAAUAAUAUUAAGAGCAAGUCACCUAGACUGGAACCAGCAGGUCCAUAUGGCAGACCAGGGACAGCGGGAAGAACACCUAAGUGGAACCCUGAAGCUACUUCCCACUCUGUGACUUUAGGGUCCAUAGAAUUAUGGACCUGGAUACUGGAUGGCAGAUGUGAAAUCCCUUCUUCUUAUUCAAUGCUUAUGCAAAUAUGUGCUAUUGUCAUUGCAAACAUGGUAUGUGCCCUGGAGGGGAACAAUGACUCCAUUAAAUUUUCUGGCCCUGGAAUUCCGUAAAGGAAGUAGUCCAUGGCCCUAGCCCAGGUUUUUCAGCCUCCACACUAUUGCCCAGUAGGCCCUGGAGAUGCCCUGUGUGGGGCCCUGUGCCCAGAGCGGCAUCCCUGGGCUCCACCCUGCAGGUGCCCUGGAUAUCAGCAGAAACUCCCACCAAGUCCUGACAAUAGAAAGUGUCUCCAGACAUGCCCAAGUGUCCCUCGGGGGCAAAACCACCAGUUUGGGAGACCCUGCCUAGGAAAGGUUUUUGUCUUGCUUUUUGUAGAGAGGCCACACAGUGAGAGGCUUCUCAGAAAGAAGGCGCAGUUCCCAGUGCUCAUUAACCUACAGAUUCAAUGACCAAUUCACUGCAGAGGGCAUCCAAAGGUUCUCGAACACAGAAGUUAGGAAAUGACCAUGAGAUAACAAACGGGGCUCUAUUUUGUAAAGGGGGUGCAGCCCGAUUUGGGAUUGCUAAUAAAAGACAAGUAAGUCUUUCAACUCGAUU